Astatotilapia calliptera (eastern happy) is the source of this 479-nucleotide long non-coding RNA. NCBI's taxonomy places the organism in Eukaryota, Metazoa, Chordata, Actinopteri, Cichliformes, Cichlidae. The record is from Ensembl.
AGUUUAUACGUGAUACGUUCAUUAUGGUUGUUUUGAAAGAUGUUUUGUCUCUUUCGUUGACGGUAGAGAACUCUGCGUUGAGGCUUCUAGUCAUUAUAAUCUCUAUUAUUUACACGUAAAACUUGAUAUCAAAACGAGGGAAACAGAGAUACUACCACGCUGAAGACAUAGUUGGGUCACGAUCGGUACUGCAACAUACGACUCCGAUGACACCUUCCUCGUUAGUAUAGUGAUCCGCAGCCAUGCAGCCCGCCUCCUCUCCUUUCUCCUCCUCACUGUGGUCACUCAGAGCCCUGUCCCAGCCUCCAUCUUCAUCUUCAUUACUAUCAGCAUGUUGACUCUGGGGUGGUGGUUGUGCAACAUCCUGUCACUGCUGGGAUUCUUUCUGCUAUGAUGGGUCAUUGGAGUCUAACUGCCAAACAGUUACAUUUAUUUCUGUAUCUCAAUAAAUCAUGUUCGUUUUUUCCACAUGAUCUCUC